UCUUCUUCUUUUUUCUUCUUUUCUUCUCCUUCGUUGCCCUCCCCACUUUUCUUCCCGUGAAAGGGUCAGACCCCCCCAUCGAAGCACAGGAGAGGGGAAGGGGCCUAGGGCCAGCAACGGUAUGGCCAAGGGCCAGCGGCGCCCGCGGCCAAGGGCUUGUGGCGACCGUAACCAAGGGCAAUGGCUGGGUAAAUCCUCUUGGUAUGUUUUUUUCCAUUUUCUUCUUCUUCUUCUUCUUUUUCUGCUUCUUCUUUUUCCUUAUCUCAGUGGCUCCUUUGCCGGAUCUGCGGCCGAGGGCCUGCGGCGAUCGCGGCCGAGGGCUUGCGGCGACUGCAGAUCGGCCACCGUUGCAAGAUGCCUACUCAUGGAUAGGUCGGGCAUGGAGCUUGAGCGAUGGAGUCUUUAGUUAGUUAGUUUAUUCUCUGAUGCCAAACGAAUAGUUGAUUAUCUUAUAAAUGAAUCAGUUUGAUUAUUCGAAUAUGGUGGAUUUAUUAGUUGGAUUUUGUGGCUAUUAA
Phoenix dactylifera (date palm) is the source of this 515-nucleotide non-coding RNA. Lineage: Eukaryota; Viridiplantae; Streptophyta; Magnoliopsida; Arecales; Arecaceae. The record is from RefSeq and is a predicted model, not a curated record.